Pocillopora damicornis (cauliflower coral) is the source of this 728-nucleotide long non-coding RNA. RefSeq lists it as uncharacterized. Lineage: Eukaryota; Metazoa; Cnidaria; Anthozoa; Scleractinia; Pocilloporidae. The record is from RefSeq and is a predicted model, not a curated record.
ACUGCCCUGGGGUCAAGAGCUGGCUGGUGACGAAACAUUUGUAAUACAUAGUCUGGGUCAGCCGGGGUAACUUUGGUCGACGAGAUACCUUUUCCCGACGAUGUUAGUAUUGGUAACCAAGCUGUCGGGCAAAGGAAUAAAGGGGUGACGUUGGAAGUUACACUGAUGAAGUGCAAGUUUCUACCGUAGAAACUGAGAGUGGUGAAAUGGAAGAAGUAAGUGUAACGUAACGGUGCCCGCUCACUACAAGUAUUACUCAAACAGGCAGUCGCCGAAACACAAACGCCAACAAAAAUCAGACGCGAAGCUUUGCCAUCAGCUGGAAAGGGAGGUGCUCUCAUGGCUAAAGAGAGAUCAUCAAUUGUAACUGCAGACAAGAAGACAAUAGAAGACGACAUACUGCGCCUUAAGAGAAACCUCCAACUAAAAAAAAAUAAGCUGAGAUUGGAGACAAAAAGACUUAAAAAAAAUUAAUUUCAUUAAACGGCGUCUAAAAUGCAAAUUAAAAUGAUGAUAUUGAUAACCUUUUGGACAUCUACCGGACUUAUUAUAUAACAAUACUAUUGAUAGUCGGAGGAGUACUUUAAUUGGUGAUAGAUAAUAUCAGAAUUAUGACCCACAUGUACACUUACUUUUUUUCUUCGGGGGUUAGGUAUAUGUGUACUUUGUGCAAUAUAAUGUAAUAAUUAUCGUCAUUGAAUAAAAAAUAGCUUCUUGAUUUUGCACGA